UACGGAGGGUGCAAGCGUUAUCCGGAUUUACUGGGUUUAAAGGGUGUGUAGGCGGACUUUUAAGUCAGCGGUGAAAUCUCCGGGCUCAACCCGGAAACUGCCAUUGAUACUAUUGGUCUUGAAUGUUGUUGAGGUGGGCGGAACGGGUCAUGUAGCGGUGAAAUGCAUAGAUAUGACCCGGAACACCGAUUGCGUAGGCAGCCCACUAAGCAACGAUUGACGCUGAGGCACGAAAGCGUGGGGAUCAAACAGGAUUAGAUACCCUGGUAGUCCACGCCCUAAACGAUGAUUACUCGACGUUGGCGAUACACUGAUCAGCGUCCAAGCGAAAGCAUUAAGUAAUCCACCUGGGAAGUACGUUCGCAAGAAUGAA
This 373-nucleotide ribosomal RNA is filed under the name uncultured bacterium. RNAcentral describes it as "bacterial SSU rRNA". It matches the Rfam family "Bacterial small subunit ribosomal RNA", at positions 524 to 898 of the family's 1533-position model. The record is from RNAcentral.